GACGAACGCUGGCGGCGUGCCUAAUACAUGCAAGUUGAGCGCUGAAGGUUGGUACUUGUACCAACUGGAUGAGCAGCGAACGGGUGAGUAACGCGUGGGGAAUCUGCCUUUGAGCGGGGGACAACAUUUGGAAACGAAUGCUAAUACCGCAUAAAAACUUUAAACACAAGUUUUAAGUUUGAAAGAUGCAAUUGCAUCACUCAAAGAUGAUCCCGCGUUGUAUUAGCUAGUUGGUGAGGUAAAGGCUCACCAAGGCGAUGAUACAUAGCCGACCUGAGAGGGUGAUCGGCCACAAUUGGACUGAGACACGGCCCAAACUCCUACGGGAAGCAGCAGUAGGGAAUCUUCGGCAAUGGACGAAAGUCUGACCGAGCAACGCCGCGUGAGUGAAGAAGGUUUUCGGAUCGUAAAACUCUGUUGGUAGAGAAGAACGUUGGUGAGAGUGGAAAGCUCAUCAAGUGACGGUAACUACCCAGAAAGGGACGGCUAACUACGUG
This 497-nucleotide ribosomal RNA is filed under the name uncultured bacterium. RNAcentral's name for it is "partial 16S ribosomal RNA". It matches the Rfam family "Bacterial small subunit ribosomal RNA", at positions 28 to 507 of the family's 1533-position model. The record is from RNAcentral.